Molecule: transfer RNA, 63 nt
Filed under: Curculionoidea sp. 23 KM-2017
Lineage: Eukaryota; Metazoa; Arthropoda; Insecta; Coleoptera
Description: tRNA-Arg
Source: RNAcentral
UAGUAAGAAGCAAAAAAUUGCAUUUAGUUUCGACCUAAAAAUUUGAUAGAAUAUCCUUACUUU